Molecule: transfer RNA, 64 nt
Filed under: Laomedia healyi
Lineage: Eukaryota; Metazoa; Arthropoda; Malacostraca; Decapoda; Laomediidae
Description: tRNA-Gly
Source: RNAcentral
AUCUCUUUAAUAUAAAAAGUAUAUUUGGCUUCCAACCAGAAAGUCUAAACAUUUAGGAGAGAUA